GCUGCAUCCUUGGAAGGACACAGAAUUUAAAGUCAUGUCUUCAAAGGCUAUGGAGGUGGGGCAGAGCGUUGUUAAAUGGGACUGUCUAGCCUACAAAGUAAAAACAGGUGUGAAUGGGGUCUGAAAUGUUUUGAUCCACUUUCAGAUAUAGUUGAAAAUGUAUUUGACUGGAUUGCUUUCAUAGUGUAAACACUCAUUCGGUCGAAUGCAAACCACCACUAAAGACAGCCUCCUCUCUUCCAACUGAUCUAAGUCUUAAACAUUAGAGGACGUGUUGUUGAAGCACGAUAAUAGAUGGGAUUUAAACUUUACAGACUGAAUUCAUACAUCUGGUUUGAAGGUGAAAAAAUGUCAAAAGCACAAUGUUCUCUUACCAGUCCUGAUUCAAACACAAACUAACACAAAAUAAAUUAUUUGAUCAUUACACACAAUAAAAAUAAAACAAAUCUUUCUGUUUUUUUUUUGUUUGUUUUUUGUGUGUGUGUAUCACUUCAAUUAUCAGGUGGACUGAUGUAUCUACAGCGUCAAAUAUUAAACAUGAUAAUACACAUAAACAUGUAUUAAAGUGUUUGUUUUGUUUUGACACAGAUACAUUGUUAAUAGUGCUGGUCUCCAUUGGUGUUGCUGGAAGUUUCUCUGGACUCAUGGGACUCAUCUGUCUGUGCCAGUUUGCAUGCUUCUGUCUGGACUCAUAGGAUUCAUCUGUCUGUGCCGCUUUACCAGUUCUGCUGAUGUUCUCACAGAAGUGAACUACACCUCCUGCCAGAUGGAAACAACAUCUCUUUUAACUUCCUCUGUGUGCUCCUCAAAACAUGAAUGACCUGUUUAUGUUCUUCACUUGUUGCCUCUGAUGAAGAUAAAAAUGAUAUGUAAAGAUAAUAUAGCAUAAAGCAACUGAAUUCAUAUUUUGAUUU
Cyprinus carpio (common carp) is the source of this 914-nucleotide long non-coding RNA. RefSeq lists it as uncharacterized. The record is from RefSeq and is a predicted model, not a curated record. NCBI's taxonomy places the organism in Eukaryota, Metazoa, Chordata, Actinopteri, Cypriniformes, Cyprinidae. The transcript is spliced from 3 exons.